This is a long non-coding RNA of Hyalella azteca, 335 nucleotides long. RefSeq lists it as uncharacterized. NCBI's taxonomy places the organism in Eukaryota, Metazoa, Arthropoda, Malacostraca, Amphipoda, Hyalellidae. The transcript has 3 exons. The record is from RefSeq and is a predicted model, not a curated record.
CGCCUGAAAGAAGCUCUGUCGGUCAAAGACAACCUGGCCGAGGAAUGGUCUUCUAAAGCCGCAAGUCUCCAGAGGUCCAACCAGAAGCUCGCAAGGCAGCUCGAAACGCACACAUCGUCUGACAACAAAAUGCGAGAGCUGAGCCAAGAGAAGCUGCAGCUGGAGCAGCAGGUGCAGCGCGAGAGGAAGACGCUCGCUGCGCUCAGGGAAGACCUUGUCGCCGAGAAGGUGCGCACGCAGCAGCUCAGCAACCAGCUGGAGAGCCUCACAGCAGACCUGGUCAAACUCGGUCUCAAAACCGACAACCUUAGCGCCCCUACCUCAUCCGACGCGGC